This is a long non-coding RNA of Dunckerocampus dactyliophorus (ringed pipefish), 1891 nucleotides long. RefSeq lists it as uncharacterized. The transcript is spliced from 3 exons. Lineage: Eukaryota; Metazoa; Chordata; Actinopteri; Syngnathiformes; Syngnathidae. The record is from RefSeq and is a predicted model, not a curated record.
UCCUCACAUUCACCGGCCCAGGUCGACACGCUGCCCGGCAUUGGCGUGCUUCUCUCCCGCUGCCACGAGAGGACAAGCGGUGGGAGGUCGGUGCAAGUUCACCGGCCAAUUCCGCAACCCUCGCUCUCCAACCAUUGCAAACAAAUCACCGCUUAUCUGUGGAUACUAUCAGGGCCUCCACGAAUCAUCAAUGUCGCCUAAAAGCGGGGGAGAUGCACCGUGUACGCCACUCCAUCGCCGCUUUGUCCUCGGGAAGAACAUCAACACUGAGCAGUUUGCUAAAAAAGAAGCCUGCCCUACCUUUCGCCCCAACGCCGUCCCGGAGUAGAAGUAGUAGGCUAUUCCCAGCACCCACAGCACCGCAAAACAUAACAAUAUCCUCGAUUUCCUCCGCAUGGCUCCCUCUUUCUCCUGUUGUAGUUCGCCUGCCGACUGUUCAGUGGCUCAGCUCAGCUCUCGGGGUUCGCUGGUGACGACUCGUCCCGGUAUCCUGUCCGCACUGGGCGCUUCGCCGAGCGGCUUCGGCAGGCGUAGUCGUUAGGUGGGUCGGUCGGUUCCUUAGGAGGGAGGCGGGGGGCAGGAAGCAGCUAGCCAAAAAUCAAAGGGGUUAGAGGGCAAAGGCUAACUCGCUUUAAUCCAAUCAAACAUUGGAUAACGCCGUUCUGGAUGAGGGCUUGGUGCUGCAGUGCUAAAGUAGACAAAACUAUACUUACAUAAUAACUGAAAAGUCAAUACACGUAGUAAUUGUUUAGUUAGAGCAGCAGCAAGCGAAGAUGUGUGCUAUUCAUGCUACAGGCUGUGUUGCUAUACUAUGUAAGUACGCUAGGGGCGCGAGAGACAGCUUGAACCGGUUUAAAUGGGAGGAAACUAGCAGUUCUACAGUUUUUCAUCAGACUACUACAAUUUAAAAUCACCAGAGUCGUGUAUCAGCGUGGCACUGACACACCACAACAGCAGUCUCCUGAUUCGCCGUCGCCGCUGCGCGGCAACAAUGAAAUUCCCAGCGUGCAAGCAACCACCGGCUCCUGCUGUGGCUGGCGGCUGAUGACAACGACUCAAGCGGCACAUUUACCACCUUUUUAUUUGAUUUACGGCUAAAACAACUGCGGUCAUGGGGUUUUUUUUGCACCACUUGGUUUUGCACCCAAAACGGACUGGAUUUCAUUCGUUCAUAACAAAGUGGUGAGCUGGUAGGACUGUUUUUCUUCACUAUCAAAGGAUUAAGGAUCUCUUCCCAAGAGGGAAACCCCUGAACUGAACUGAUUAAUGAACUUUUACCAACGAGACCCAAGGAACUCUCAAACCCCAUCAAAGUAUUUGUUGUUUGUUGGUCUGGGGCUGAAUGAGUGCUGCGAGCACUCGGGAGCUGUGGUUCGUUGAGAGAAACUUGAAUAAUAUUGACACUUUGGACAAAAUUUAGAAAUGUUCACUGUGAGGUGUGCUCACUUGUGUUGCCAGCUAUUUUGCCAAUAAUGAUGGAUGAAAGUCUGUAUGUUGACCUAUUUCCAAUGUGUCUCUUGAGAAGACAAUAAAAUGGUUGCUGAAAUGAGAGGGGUGAAGUCACUUUAGUGAGAGACUGUCCGUAUAAAAACAGGAUUCACUUAGUCAUUUUGUCCAAGUAAUGCCAAGCUGCUUCAUGGAAACUUGAAUGUUUGUCGACAAGGCUAAAUUCCGUUUGACUUCAUAAAUGUUCAUCUUUUUAAAAAGCCACACUGACAGCGCACAUCAGAGUGUUAAAUGACUUAAACAGACACCUCUUACCCGCCUAUCUAUUCAUGUUUCUGCCUCUGUGUGCCUCCUCUUCUCAAUGUGUUAAUUCAGUUUCUGAAAAAUGCUGAGUCAAGCAGGCGUCACUUUAAAUAUGGACUGGUAGCAGAGCCAGACGUGACUC